This 509-nucleotide long non-coding RNA is filed under the name Arabidopsis lyrata. Its description in RNAcentral is "long non-coding RNA (ALYR_LNC002117)". The record is from RNAcentral. Lineage: Eukaryota; Viridiplantae; Streptophyta; Magnoliopsida; Brassicales; Brassicaceae.
GAUCUUUGCAUCUACGUAUAGCAUUUAGAUGCACCCGAUGAAAAGAAUUGUAUGUAAAACUCAAAUAAUUAGGAAAAGAUUCAGAUGAGUGCUCUCUUAGGACAAGAGUUGGAGCUGGCAAAGCAAAAGAUGAAGCUGUAGCAAAUCUCAGAGUUGCAGUAAUAACAAGACGUAUAAAUGGUUAUUUGGGGAGGCCAGUUUGAGGAUGGAGAAGGGCCUGAGUUUGCUCUUGGUCACAUACUCUAUCUUUUAAGUAGAGUUUAAAAAGUUCAUUUCAGAUUCAUUCCACAGGACCUCUUCCAGGUUAGAAAUAACUCACUUCACCUUUUUGAUUCUGACUUCCAAUUUUGGUUUCAUCUUGUUAGCCAAAACGACCUACUUUUGGAUUAUCACCAACAUACUCUCAUACUUGUUUUUGCUCAUUUCAGUUUCUCUACUUUUUCUACAGGUCAAAGAUUGCUCACUUGCUCAUUUCAGUUUCAACAAAAAAAAAAAAAAACGGAUUGCUC